Molecule: ribosomal RNA, 1187 nt
Filed under: Escherichia coli B83
Lineage: Bacteria; Pseudomonadati; Pseudomonadota; Gammaproteobacteria; Enterobacterales; Enterobacteriaceae
Description: bacterial SSU rRNA
Rfam family: Bacterial small subunit ribosomal RNA
Source: RNAcentral
AGAGUUUGAUCAUGGCUCAGAUUGAACGCUGGCGGCAGGCCUAACACAUGCAAGUCGAACGGUAACAGGAAGAAGCUUGCUUCUUUGCUGACGAGUGGCGGACGGGUGAGUAAUGUCUGGGAAACUGCCUGAUGGAGGGGGAUAACUACUGGAAACGGUAGCUAAUACCGCAUAACGUCGCAAGACCAAAGAGGGGGACCUUCGGGCCUCUUGCCAUCGGAUGUGCCCAGAUGGGAUUAGCUAGUAGGUGGGGUAACGGCUCACCUAGGCGACGAUCCCUAGCUGGUCUGAGAGGAUGACCAGCCACACUGGAACUGAGACACGGUCCAGACUCCUACGGGAGGCAGCAGUGGGGAAUAUUGCACAAUGGGCGCAAGCCUGAUGCAGCCAUGCCGCGUGUAUGAAGAAGGCCUUCGGGUUGUAAAGUACUUUCAGCGGGGAGGAAGGGAGUAAAGUUAAUACCUUUGCUCAUUGACGUUACCCGCAGAAGAAGCACCGGCUAACUCCGUGCCAGCAGCCGCGGUAAUACGGAGGGUGCAAGCGUUAAUCGGAAUUACUGGGCGUAAAGCGCACGCAGGCGGUUUGUUAAGUCAGAUGUGAAAUCCCCGGGCUCAACCUGGGAACUGCAUCUGAUACUGGCAAGCUUGAGUCUCGUAGAGGGGGGUAGAAUUCCAGGUGUAGCGGUGAAAUGCGUAGAGAUCUGGAGGAAUACCGGUGGCGAAGGCGGCCCCCUGGACGAAGACUGACGCUCAGGUGCGAAAGCGUGGGGAGCAAACAGGAUUAGAUACCCUGGUAGUCCACGCCGUAAACGAUGUCGACUUGGAGGUUGUGCCCUUGAGGCGUGGCUUCCGGAGCUAACGCGUUAAGUCGACCGCCUGGGGAGUACGGCCGCAAGGUUAAAACUCAAAUGAAUUGACGGGGGCCCGCACAAGCGGUGGAGCAUGUGGUUUAAUUCGAUGCAACGCGAAGAACCUUACCUGGUCUUGACAUCCACAGAACUUUCCAGAGAUGGAUUGGUGCCUUCGGGAACUGUGAGACAGGUGCUGCAUGGCUGUCGUCAGCUCGUGUUGUGAAAUGUUGGGUUAAGUCCCGCAACGAGCGCAACCCUUAUCCUUUGUUGCCAGCGGUCCGGCCGGGAACUCAAAGGAGACUGCCAGUGAUAAACUGGAGGAAGGUGGGGAUGACGU